This 429-nucleotide ribosomal RNA is filed under the name uncultured bacterium. RNAcentral describes it as "bacterial SSU rRNA". It matches the Rfam family "Bacterial small subunit ribosomal RNA", at positions 30 to 462 of the family's 1533-position model. The record is from RNAcentral.
AUUGAACGCUGGCGGCAUGCCUUACACAUGCAAGUCGAACGGCAGCGGACCUUCGGGUGCCGGCGAGUGGCGAACGGGUGAGUAAUAUAUCGGAACGUACCUUUCAGUGGGGGAUAACGUAGCGAAAGUUACGCUAAUACCGCAUAUUCUGUGAGCAGGAAAGCAGGGGAUCGCAAGACCUUGCGCUGAUUGAGCGGCCGAUAUCAGAUUAGCUAGUUGGUGAGGUAAAGGCUCACCAAGGCGACGAUCUGUAGCGGGUCUGAGAGGAUGAUCCGCCACACUGGAACUGAGACACGGUCCAGACUCCUACGGGAGGCAGCAGUGGGGAAUUUUGGACAAUGGGCGCAAGCCUGAUCCAGCCAUGCCGCGUGAGUGAAGAAGGCCUCGGUUGGUUAAGUACGUACUUUCGGUCCGGGUAACGGAAAGUAC